GAUGAACGCUGGCGGCGUGCCUAAUACAUGCAAGUCGAGCGAACGGACGAGAAGCUUGCUUCUCUGAUGUUAGCGGCGGACGGGUGAGUAACACGUGGAUAACCUACCUAUAAGACUGGGAUAACUUCGGGAAACCGGAGCUAAUACCGGAUAAUAUUUUGAACCGCAUGGUUCAAAAGUGAAAGACGGUCUUGCUGUCACUUAUAGAUGGAUCCGCGCUGCAUUAGCUAGUUGGUAAGGUAACGGCUUACCAAGGCAACGAUGCAUAGCCGACCUGAGAGGGUGGUUGCCCACACUGGAACUGAGACACGGUCCAGACUCCUACGGGAGGCAGCAGUAGGGAAUCUUCCGCAAUGGGCGAGAGCGUGACGUAGCAACGCCGCGUGAGUGAUGAAGGUCUUCGGAUCGUAAAGCUCUGUUAUUAGGGAAGAACAUAUGUGUAAGUAACUGUGCACAUCUUGACGGUACCGAAUCAGAAAGCCACGGCUAACUACGUG
Molecule: ribosomal RNA, 497 nt
Filed under: uncultured bacterium
Lineage: Bacteria
Description: partial 16S ribosomal RNA
Rfam family: Bacterial small subunit ribosomal RNA
Source: RNAcentral